Molecule: non-coding RNA, 27 nt
Filed under: Homo sapiens (human)
Lineage: Eukaryota; Metazoa; Chordata; Mammalia; Primates; Hominidae
Source: RNAcentral
UCCGCAAUCACAGGGACGUUUUAUGCC